This 576-nucleotide ribosomal RNA is filed under the name uncultured Nitrososphaerota archaeon. RNAcentral describes it as "bacterial SSU rRNA". It matches the Rfam family "Archaeal small subunit ribosomal RNA", at positions 345 to 921 of the family's 1478-position model. The record is from RNAcentral. Lineage: Archaea; Thermoproteati; Nitrososphaerota.
AAACUUUGCAAUGUGCGAAAGCACGACAAGGUUAAUCCGAGUGAUUUCUGCUAARGAAAUCUUUUGUUAGUCCUAGAARCACUAACGGAAUAAGGGGUGGGCAAGUUCUGGUGUCAGCCGCCGCGGUAAAACCAGCACCUCAAGUGGUCAGGAUGAUUAUUGGGCCUAAAGCAUCCGUAGCCGGCUCUGUAAGUCCUCGGUUAAAUCUGUACGCUUAACGUACAGGCUGCCGGGAAUACUGCAUAGCUAGGGAGUGGGAGAGGUAGACGGUACUCGGUAGGAAGGGGUAAAAUCCUUUGAUCUAUUGAUGACCACCUGUGGCGAAGGCGGUCUACCAGAACACGUCCGACGGUGAGGGAUGAAAGCUGGGGGAGCAAACCGGAUUAGAUACCCGGGUAGUCCCAGCUGUAAACUAUGCAAACUCAGUGAUGCAUUGGCUUGUGGCCAAUGCAGUGCUGCAGGGAAGCCGUUAAGUUUGCCGCCUGGGAAGUACGUACGCAAGUAUGAAACUUAAAGGAAUUGGCGGGGGAGCACCACAAGGGGUGAAGCCUGCGGUUCAAUUGGAGUCWWCGCCGG